This 430-nucleotide ribosomal RNA is filed under the name uncultured Actinomycetes bacterium. Its description in RNAcentral is "bacterial SSU rRNA". It matches the Rfam family "Bacterial small subunit ribosomal RNA", at positions 1 to 437 of the family's 1533-position model. The record is from RNAcentral. Lineage: Bacteria; Bacillati; Actinomycetota; Actinomycetes.
CUAGAGUUUGAUCCUGGCUCAGGACGAACGCUGGCGGCGUGCUUAACACAUGCAAGUCGAGCGGUAAGGCUCCUUCGGGAGUACACGAGCGGCGAACGGGUGAGUAACGCGUGAGCAAUCUGCCCUUCACACGGGGAUAACUCCGGGAAACCGGUGCUAAUACCCGAUACGACCACUUCAGGCAUCUGAUGGUGGUGGAAAGUUCCGGCGGUGAAGGAUGAGCUCGCGGCCUAUCAGCUUGUUGGUGGGGUAACGGCCCACCAAGGCAACGACGGGUAGCCGGCCUGAGAGGGUGACCGGCCACACUGGGACUGAGACACGGCCGAGACUCCUACGGGAGGCAGCAGUGGGGAAUAUUGGACAAUGGGCGAAAGCCUGAUCCACCAACGCCGCGUGAGGGAUGACGGCCUUCAGGUUCUAAUCCUCUUUC